RNAcentral lists this ribosomal RNA (515 nucleotides) under uncultured bacterium. Its description in RNAcentral is "partial 16S ribosomal RNA". It matches the Rfam family "Bacterial small subunit ribosomal RNA", at positions 28 to 523 of the family's 1533-position model. The record is from RNAcentral.
GAUGAACGCUGGCGGCGUGCCUAAUACAUGCAAGUCGAGCGAAUGGAUUAAGAGCUUGCUCUUAUGAAGUUAGCGGCGGACGGGUGAGUAACACGUGGGUAACCUGCCCAUAAGACUGGGAUAACUCCGGGAAACCGGGGCUAAUACCGGAUAACAUUUUGAACCGCAUGGUUCGAAAUUGAAAGGCGGCUUCGGCUGUCACUUAUGGAUGGACCCGCGUCGCAUUAGCUAGUUGGUGAGGUAACGGCUCACCAAGGCAACGAUGCGUAGCCGACCUGAGAGGGUGAUAGGCCACACUGGGACUGAGACACGGCCCAGACUCCUACGGGAGGAAGCAGUAGGGAAUCUUCCGCAAGGGACGAAAGUCUGACGGAGCAACGCCGCGUGAGUGAUGAAGGCUUUCGGGUCGUAAAACUCUGUUGUUAGGGAAGAACAAGUGCUAGUCGAAUAAGCUGGCACCUUGACGGUACCUAACCAGAAAGCCACGGCUAACUACGUGCCAGCCGCCGCCGUAA